This is a long non-coding RNA of Cyprinus carpio carpio, 1048 nucleotides long. The record is from Ensembl. NCBI's taxonomy places the organism in Eukaryota, Metazoa, Chordata, Actinopteri, Cypriniformes, Cyprinidae.
GUGUGAGCGUUCACUGCGGCGGAGCCUCUGCUGGCGUGCGCUGGUCCACGUGACUGCAAAACUUCAUGCAGGUUGUGGAAACUGGGUCUGUGAAGUUCACUCUCAUAUUUGCGAAGCAAAGUCCAAAGACCCUCAGGGUCCUGAGAAGUGAAAGAGACAUUACUGACACAAUAAACCUCAUCUGCUCUGCACACUGUCACGACACAUUCAGAAUGUUUGGUUUACUUACUACUUUGCUCUUCAUAUUCUUUAACUUUAUUAUUAUAUUUGCAUUUUCUAUUUUAGCUUAUUCUAAAUUUGACAAAUGCACACUUAAUCUUUUAGAAUUACUACAGUAUAUACCAUGGUUCUGUUCAAAAUGGAAUACUUGCAUACUGAUUACUGCACAGUACAGUAAAUGCUGUAUAUACUGAGAUUCACCAAAUCUGGCAGAGAGUUUAAAAUGGUCCAGGCCUCAUCAUCAUGUGCUUGCGUCAGCUGGGUCAGCAAAUGAGUGGCACAUUCGCCCCAUGAGACAUCUAUCCCAGAACACCCUGGAGCGAAUGGUCUAGUAGAAGAACCAUGUGCUUCCUGUAGAGAGGCUUUGAUCUGCUGCAGGCUCCACACACAGCUCUCAUCCACCGCAUUUCCAUGAACCACAUCUGAAAAAUAGACUUUAAUUUCUUUAAUGAAAACCAGAGGACUAUCUUACAGUUGAUGUGCUUCUAAUACUAAGUUACUAGUCAUUUUGGCUAGUUCACCCAAAAAUGAAACCCACAUCAUAUUAAUUUGGAACAACAUAUCACUUUUGUAGUUGUGUUUGUGUUUUUUAUAUGUAGUUGAUGUUUUUAACUGUUUUUCUGAAUGUUUGCCUCGAGGUCACUCAGGGAAAGCCUGUGUAAGAUCUCCACCAACCGUUUCCUUUCCUGCUUCUGACACAGAACCAAAAACUGCAGCACAGCCUGAUGGGAAAAUAAAUAAACAUUUUAUCUAUUAUAAAACUGUACAUAACACAAGCAUAUGAGGUAAAUAUUUCCUUUAAGUCAUGUUGGAAUGAUUUCAUAUUACA